RNAcentral lists this ribosomal RNA (409 nucleotides) under uncultured bacterium. RNAcentral describes it as "bacterial SSU rRNA". It matches the Rfam family "Bacterial small subunit ribosomal RNA", at positions 509 to 918 of the family's 1533-position model. The record is from RNAcentral.
CAGCAGCCGCGGUAAUACGGAGGGGGUUAGCGUUGUUCGGAAUUACUGGGCGUAAAGCGCACGUAGGCGGAUUAGAAAGUUGGGGGUGAAAUCCCGGGGCUCAACCCCGGAACUGCCUCCAAAACUGCUAGUCUAGAGUUCGAGAGAGGUGAGUGGAAUUCCGAGUGUAGAGGUGAAAUUCGUAGAUAUUCGGAGGAACACCAGUGGCGAAGGCGGCUCACUGGCUCGAUACUGACGCUGAGGUGCGAAAGUGUGGGGAGCAAACAGGAUUAGAUACCCUGGUAGUCCACACCGUAAACGAUGAAUGCCAGUCGUCGGGUAGUAUACUAUUCGGUGACACACCUAACGGAUUAAGCAUUCCGCCUGGGGAGUACGGUCGCAAGAUUAAAACUCAAAGGAAUUGACGGGG